UGAAAAAGGCAAAACUGCCGUGAGGCAGUGACGCAAAGCCACAGGGUCUUCUGUAUUUGGAAGACAGCCGGUUACCGC
This 78-nucleotide non-coding RNA is filed under the name human gut metagenome. RNAcentral describes it as "Cyclic di-GMP-I riboswitch". It matches the Rfam family "c-di-GMP-I riboswitch aptamer". Rfam says of the family: GEMM was predicted in a large-scale screen for bacterial structured RNA regulatory elements. Genes associated with GEMM are involved in a diverse array of functions, including chemotaxis regulation, signal transduction, secretion and chitin. The record is from RNAcentral.